Molecule: long non-coding RNA, 1294 nt
Organism: Oryzias latipes (Japanese medaka)
Lineage: Eukaryota; Metazoa; Chordata; Actinopteri; Beloniformes; Adrianichthyidae
Source: RefSeq, a predicted model, not a curated record
CUUUAUAUAGCAGCAGUAGAAGAAGAAAAAGAAGAAGAACGCUGUGGCAGACCGUCGUUUUUCCGCGCUCUAGACAAAUGGUUCGGUUGGAAUUCGGUUUGUGGUCUGUUGGACAUUUACUUGUUCAGGAGUCGAACCCCUUAUCCUGUCCAGGAAUGAGGGGCCGCAGCACCGACCCGCCGCGGCAUGACUACAUGCUAAUCUAUGCUAACGCUCAGGACCGACUGAGCACGUGCACGGAUACCGCGAGCUCUCCCAACCCUCACACGGACAAAGUCAAAGAAGAUGAGGUUCUGGGAGGCAGACACGGUUCUGCAGACUGAGAGCUUUGGACCAGGGUCAACAGAACUGUACCACAGGCACCAGAACUUAUGCGUCAUUCCAGCAUCAUGCUGCUGGCAGAGGGAUUUCAGGUUCCUGCUACUGAACGCUCCAGCAGCAGGAAACUCCAUGCACCAAAUCGACAGAUUUCAUUGUGCCACUUGACUUUGUGCUGUGCAGGAGAAUCUCUGCCCACUGACCCGCCGUGGCCCCAAAAUGCAGAUGAUGAUCACAGAUGUACCAUCAGCUCUGCAAAAACCUGCUGGCAGAUGCCUUCAGGUUCACCUGGGAUUUCUGCACGUUUGGAUGGUCUUCAUCAUGGCUUCAAGAUGUAAACAUCAAAUCCUGUCACCAGUUCAGAAGCAGAAACAGGGAUGUGUUAACAGUUUAAUAUUUAAAGUCCCACUCUGAAAAUACUUUUUUUUUUUUUUAAUACAUGUUCUUGUGUCAUUUUUCUGAUAUAAAGAAAAUUGAACCAAAAGUUUCAUUUGAGUAUUUCUUUAUUCAAAUUAUUGUGAAUCAGGAGCAGAAGAGGGGAAAAAAUACAGUUUGAAAAAGAGCUUAUUUGUGACGUAGAAAAUAUGCUGAGGAGGCCACAGGGUCCCUGCAACGCUCCACGAUGGGAAGGGGGGGUGGGGUUGCUCCCCACCAAUGGUCCCAUUCACAAAUAAGAGUUGAAUUUCUAACUACUACCACUGUGAAGAAAUUGUCUUAAAAAACAAAAGUUUAUUUUUUGCUUAAACGUCACAGCCUUAAUUCAAAGACAGCUGGGAAUGCUUUUUAAAUCGAUCAAGAUUAUUGAAAUGACUUUUUUUUUUUUUUUCCAGUGUUUUUAUGUACUGAUCAUGUAUUCAACAGCAGCCUUGUCAAAUAAAUGUGUGGAUUAAAAGGUUUAGUAUCAAUUGUCUGAUAUUGAGUUGAUUUCCAGUGGAAUUACCAGAGCCGGUCUGCUAAUAAACUCAUGUUGAAGAUC